GACGAACGCUGGCGGCGUGCUUAACACAUGCAAGUCGAACGGUAAGGCCCUUCGGGGUACACGAGUGGCGAACGGGUGAGUAACACGUGGGUGAUCUGCCCUGCACUUCGGGAUAAGCCUGGGAAACUGGGUCUAAUACCGGAUAGGACCCUGGGAUGCAUGUCCUGGGGUGGAAAGCUUUUGCGGUGUGGGAUGGGCCCGCGGCCUAUCAGCUUGUUGGUGGGGUGAUGGCCUACCAAGGCGGCGACGGGGAGGCGGCCUGAGAGGGUGACCGGCCACACUGGGACUGAGAUGCGGCCCAGACUCCUACGGGAGGCAGCAGUGGGGAAUAUUGCACAAUGGGCGCAAGCCUGAUGCAGCGACGCCGCGUGAGGGAUGACGGCCUUCGGGUUGUAAACCUCUUUCAGCACCGACGAAGCGCAAGUGACGGUAGGUGCAGAAGAAGGACCGGCCAACUACGUGCCAGCCGCCGCAGUAA
Molecule: ribosomal RNA, 478 nt
Filed under: uncultured bacterium
Lineage: Bacteria
Description: partial 16S ribosomal RNA
Rfam family: Bacterial small subunit ribosomal RNA
Source: RNAcentral